This is a small nucleolar RNA of Dendrobium catenatum, 106 nucleotides long. NCBI's taxonomy places the organism in Eukaryota, Viridiplantae, Streptophyta, Magnoliopsida, Asparagales, Orchidaceae. The record is from RefSeq and is a predicted model, not a curated record.
AAAGUAUGAUGAGGACAUUUUCUAAAUUUUUUUAAAAUCUCUCCCAAUUCUCAUAAAUGGAUUCUCCUGCAAACUAUGUAAAUGAAGUGAUAUAAAUUCUAAGUUC